UCUAGAAUAAGAAGAUGUUAAAAACUUAUAUACUUGGAUGGGUUUUGGUCCAGCGUAACAAGGAACAAAGUAAACAUCCACGUGUCGCGCAAGGAGUGCCUGGAAAAUUUGCUGCAGGAAAUGUGAAACGUGGCAGAUCCUUAUUCGCAGAUUCCGAAGGGUGUAGUGCGUCUGUAGUGCACCUUCACAUACCGGAUAGGAGUCUGGGGAAUAGAUCCUAAAGUCACGUGUAUGGAGGGAAGGUAUGCACCCAACGUGUCGCAAUCGUGUUCGUUGGAUCAGUGGGUGCACCGUGUCUACGAUACACACGACCACACCUGAUCACACGCUGGCCAAAGGAGUGCUGAAUCUAGUGUAACACGUUCACGCUUACAACCGUGCACCUGUCAACGUGUCGUGUGAUGAUUGGCUGCCGUUGGUGGUCAAAAGAACUCAUUGACCAAUAUGCCUCACGGUGCAAUGUGAUUGGCCAGAAGAAGAGUUCACGGUGCCUAACGUGUGGCUGGUUGCACCGAAUCACUUCUUUGAAAAUUUCCUCGCUUUCUCUUACUCUUUCUGGUUUCUUUCUCUCUCCUUUUUGGCUUUUUCUUAGUUUUUUU
Molecule: long non-coding RNA, 599 nt
Filed under: Lupinus angustifolius (narrow-leaved blue lupine)
Lineage: Eukaryota; Viridiplantae; Streptophyta; Magnoliopsida; Fabales; Fabaceae
Description: long non-coding RNA (LANG_LNC001415)
Source: RNAcentral